Molecule: long non-coding RNA, 1446 nt
Organism: Malus domestica (apple)
Lineage: Eukaryota; Viridiplantae; Streptophyta; Magnoliopsida; Rosales; Rosaceae
Source: RefSeq, a predicted model, not a curated record
UGUGUGGGCACACGAGAAAGGAUAAGAUUAGGAAUGAGGAUAUUCGAGGUAAAGUAGGAGUAGCCGAAAUUGAAGGAAAGAUGAGAGAAAAUUGGUUACAGUGGUUUGGACAUGUGCAAAGAAGACCUACUGAUGCUCUGGUUCAAAGAUGUGACUACGGGACAGGUUCAGGGCCGAAGGGGUAGAGGAAGACCUAGGAAAACUUUGGAAGAAACCAUAAGAAAAGACUUAGAGUACUUGGAUCUAACGGAAGACAUGACACAGAAUCGAGCGCAAUGGCGUUCUAGGAUUCAUAUGGCCGACCCCACUUAAUGGGAAAAGACUUUGUUGUUGUUGUUGUUUGUAUUUGAUCUCCUCACUGUCAUCCAAGACACCAGUUUCUCCUCUUCCUCUGUAAAUCCCCAUCACAUUGCAUACCUGGCCUGCACGUGAUUCUUCUAAUGUUUAGCUUUGGAAAAGAUUGGUCGCAUAUAAUGCCUUACAGGUAAUAAAAUUGAUUUUUUAGUUUGUUUGGUUUGAGUGCAAAAGUAACACCAAUUAUUUGGAACCUUAGGGGGUGUUUGUUUGACCUUCUUAGGUGGGACUGGACUAGACUAGACUAGACUAAUUGCUAGUGUAGUCCCAUGUUUGGUAUGCACAAGGGUUAGGUUUAUUGGGAAGAUGGGACUCGCUCGGAUUAAACCCUUCGGUAGGAGUUCUAAGCUAAGAACCCCAAAUUCCCCCGGACUCGUAAGACCUCCUGCGAGAGAGAACCUCGCUCAUCCUGCGAGAGAGAGAGUCGCACAUCUUUAGCUCCUCGCCCUGCUCCUUCCUUGCCCUGCUCGCCCUCAUCUGCUCCUCUUGUCAGUUUAUUCAAUUGGAGUUGCAGAUUCAGAAAACAGAACUUGCUUUGUGAAAAGAAGGUUUCAUUCUCAUCUAUUUCUUUUUUGAGUUUUCUUUUUACUAGUUUUCUUUUAUUGCUGCACCCAUAUGCCUGCACGAUACAUGUAUGCACUCACUCCUAUAUAAAAAAUAUUACAGACACAACUUGAUGUCCCUUGAGUACAGACAAAUGCUCCAUCCAUGCAUGCUGAAUAAUCAUAUACUUGUUCUCUCUUGAAAACUUUAGGGUUAAAAUGCAUUUGAAAAUGCAGGCAGGAUGAUGUAAAAGUUUAAUGGGUGAUUGGCAGUCUGAUCAGGGUACAGAAAAUGUUGGGAUAUUGAUGUGCAUUGUUUCCAUGAUUUUUUUUUCUCUAAAGCCCAGGAGAUCCUGCCUAAGAUCUCCCUGACCCAAUGGAACAUGGCCCAUCUUGUUUAAUCUGUACUUCUUUAUCUCAUUUGGAAGGAUCCCAUUUUUUUCUUUGUUAUUAUGUAUUUUAAAUACUAUUGUUAAUGUAAUUUUGCACAUUCCAAGCUUCUCUUCUAUGAAGAUGUAUUUGGAUUUUAUGUCAUGCACAAUUACGUAUC